Molecule: ribosomal RNA, 584 nt
Filed under: uncultured bacterium
Lineage: Bacteria
Description: partial 16S ribosomal RNA
Rfam family: Bacterial small subunit ribosomal RNA
Source: RNAcentral
UGGGGAAUUUUGGACAAUGGGCGAAAGCCUGAUCCAGCAAUGCCGCGUGUGUGAAGAAGGCCUUCGGGUUGUAAAGCACUUUUGUCCGGAAAGAAAUCCUUGGCUCUAAUACAGCCGGGGAUGACGGUACCGGAAGAAUAAGCACCGGCUAACUACGUGCCAGCAGCCGCGGUAAUACGUAGGGUGCAAGCGUUAAUCGGAAUUACUGGGCGUAAAGCGUGCGCAGGCGGUUUGCUAAGACCGAUGUGAAAUCCCCGGGCUCAACCUGGGAACUGCAUUGGUGACUGGCAGGCUAGAGUAUGGCAGAGGGGGGUAGAAUUCCACGUGUAGCAGUGAAAUGCGUAGAGAUGUGGAGGAAUACCGAUGGCGAAGGCAGCCCCCUGGGCCAAUACUGACGCUCAUGCACGAAAGCGUGGGGAGCAAACAGGAUUAGAUACCCUGGUAGUCCACGCCCUAAACGAUGUCAACUAGUUGUUGGGGAUUCAUUUCCUUAGUAACGUAGCUAACGCGUGAAGUUGACCGCCUGGGGAGUACGGUCGCAAGAUUAAAACUCAAAUGAAUUGACGGGGUCAUAGCUGUUUCCU